GUGUUAUUUCGAAAAUUUCAGUCCCAUCUGACUACUUUAAAGGCGAUAAAUGUUGAAUUAUUGACAUUUGAUGAUUUAUUCACACAUGGAAGUAAGUACUGAGUUCUUCGUCGUAUUAAUUAUUACACUAGAGAACAAUAAUUUCCCGCACGAAGAUGUUAUUCGCCACCUCUGAGUGUUUUGAAUUAAUAGAAGAUAUGCAGGAGUUGGAAAGGAAACACUGAGUUUCCUCUCUCGUUUCCUCUGAGGCCGUCUUCACUCUUGGUAUGCUUCAUUUUGCCUUGGUAAUAUCAAUACGCAUGUAUUAUAUCACGCAUUGCGAGCAGAAUUUCUACAUGAAUUCGUAGCCUUAUUGAUGCGAUGUCACAUGCCGUACAACGUAAUAACAGUCGCCGUCGAUUUUGCCCGUAUACUCUGGAUGCCCCUGAUACGUUGGGAAUGAGGUUUUUCAUCAGGUCGACGGUCGCUGUAACAAUCGGAAUGUACACCUGCACGAGAUUCAUGGUAUUUAGUUGGCUGAAUUUAAAAAUUUUGGGUCGAGCUUAUAUCCAAAUUGGUUCAGAUAUUUACUAUUCUCGACUAACCCGUUUUUUUUGAUAUGCGAUGUCAUCAGUAGCAGCAGCGAACUCGCACGCACGAUUGUCGCACUCGUUUCGAUAAAUUUCAGUGCAGUAUAUUUCAUAUGGCUUCAUAAUAUCAUUUAACACUUAACAAGCAUAUGGGCCGUUGAUUUUGUAAAAGAUUUCACCCUCCAUGCAAGGCUGAUAUGUUACAAGCUUGCCGUGUUGGUGGAAUUCGUUUAUUUUCUCAUUGGCAAGCAUUUCAACGACUUUUUGUGGAAUGACGAAUACGUUUCUCAACUUCCGUAUGUGCGCGCUUACGGCUUACAGCCUUCUCCUUUCAUAUACGGGCGUCCUUCGAAAGAUUCUGCCACCUUCGGAAAACUGUUGAAUCGCGCCGCGAGCAUGUUCGUCGACCUUACAAAAAAAGUUCAAAACCAGCAAA
This is a long non-coding RNA of Cimex lectularius (bed bug), 1005 nucleotides long. RefSeq lists it as uncharacterized. The record is from RefSeq and is a predicted model, not a curated record. The transcript is spliced from 2 exons. Lineage: Eukaryota; Metazoa; Arthropoda; Insecta; Hemiptera; Cimicidae.